Molecule: ribosomal RNA, 490 nt
Filed under: uncultured bacterium
Lineage: Bacteria
Description: partial 16S ribosomal RNA
Rfam family: Bacterial small subunit ribosomal RNA
Source: RNAcentral
AUGAGCGCUGGCUACAGGCUUAACACAUGCAAGUCGAGGGGAAACGACGGGGAAGCUUGCUUCCCCGGGCGUCGACCGGCGCACGGGUGAGUAACGCGUAUCCAACCUGCCUCUGACUGAGGGAUAACCCGUCGAAAGUCGGCCUAAUACCUCAUGGCAUCGUCUGCGGGCAUCCAACGACGAUUAAAGAUUUCAUCGGUCAGGGAUGGGGAUGCGUCUGAUUAGCUUGUUGGCGGGGUAACGGCCCACCAAGGCUACGAUCAGUAGGGGUUCUGAGAGGAAGGUCCCCCACAUUGGAACUGAGACACGGUCCAAACUCCUACGGGAGGCAGCAGUGAGGAAUAUUGGUCAAUGGGCGGGAGCCUGAACCAGCCAAGUAGCGUGCAGGAGGACGGCCCUAUGGGUUGUAAACUGCUUUUAUGCGGGGAUAAAGUGAGGGACGUGUCCUUCAUUGCAGGUACCGCAUGAAUAAGGACCGGCUAAUUCCGUG